AUACGGAGGGUGCAAGCGUUACUCGGAAUCACUGGGCGUAAAGCGCGCGCAGGCGGCCAUUUAAGUUGGAUGUGAAAGCCUACGGCUCAACCGUAGAACUGCAUCCAAAACUAUUUGGCUAGAGUGUGGGAGAGGAAGAUGGAAUUAGUUGUGUAGGGGUAAAAUCCGUAGAGAUAACUAGGAAUACCAAAAGCGAAGGCAAUCUUCUGGAACACUACUGACGCUGAGGCGCGAAAGCGUGGGGAGCAAACGGGAUUAGAAACCCUAGUAGUCC
RNAcentral lists this ribosomal RNA (274 nucleotides) under uncultured bacterium. Its description in RNAcentral is "partial 16S ribosomal RNA". It matches the Rfam family "Bacterial small subunit ribosomal RNA", at positions 523 to 796 of the family's 1533-position model. The record is from RNAcentral.